UAAAUCUGAUCACAACUCACGUGUUGAAUUGCAGAAAAUUUAGUACACAAUGGGUAAUUGAGCAUACACAAAAAGUCCAGUCACAUAUCUCUCGUAAUGCUACGCUUUUAAUUCUUCUAUCGAAAAAACUACCAUAUGCCCUAGGAUAACCACCAUGUGCGCAUCCAUGUGACAAUAGCUUGUACCUUUCACUUGACAUGAUUCUUAGUUGAGCACCGCUACAGGGACGACGUUUACCAGCCGAUCAUUGCACGACAUGGGUAUCACACCGUCCAUGGGCAAGUAUAAAACAGCAGAAACGACUGGAUUUGCCAUCGUGCAAGUGUCGUUCACUGUUGUGUCAUGUGUGAAGUACUUCCGUCCUUAGUUGGUUGUGCCUCCUCUAUUUCUCUAAAAGAUACAAAAAGACAAUGUCAUGUGUAAAGCUAGAAUAAUCAGACAAUGAAGUUGUGCGAACUAAAAGCUAUCUAACUUGAUUACAACUCAAAACUACUCCCUCCGUUCCUAAAUAUAAGUCUUCUUAGAAAUUUCAAUAUGCACUACAUACGGAUGUAUAUAGACUUAUUUUAGAGUGUAGAUUCACUAAUUUUGCUUCGUAUGUAGUCCAUAUAUGAAUCUCUAAAAAGACUUGUAUUUAGGAACGGAUGGAGUAAAAAUUUGCAGGUUAAGAAUGAUCCUGAUGACAUAUGAUGGCCGCACCUUGAAACUAAUUAUUUGAAUUAGAACAUGCAUUUGGAAAACAAAGAACUACUACACUGGAACAUGCAUUUAUAAAAAUACAAUGAUGCAUCUGAAGAAAGAAAUACUACUAUACUGGGAAUGCACUUGGAAAAAUCAGUGCAACUUGCUUAUCACGUGUAGAAGAUGUGAAUUUUAACAAGCAAGAUAUGAGCAAUAGCGUGAGCCUGGUCUUGACAAGUUAGACAAAGCCACAUAUGCACUCUUCUUUCUUAGUGUCUCAUUGUCGCCAACAUCUGAAUGGUUGCCUUGAUACUUUGGCAAAGCCACUGCAAUCUAUAAAAUAAAUCCAUUGAUGGUCACACUAAAAGUUUGCUCUUUAUAAGCAUUGAGUUUUCGACAGCCUCAAGAAUAGAGAACACUACAAAGAGCUAUUUUUGUCAUGGAUAAUCAAUUAAAUAGGCACUAAUGAACUGCUGCAUGCACACAAUCAGUUUCAGUGAUUGUACAAAACAAAAACGAAGGUGAACAAACAUGUACAUGGGCAUUUUGAAGGUAAGGGAAGCAAUAACAUCACUCAGUGCAGACAGUGACUUGUCGAUGAACUUUGCCUCCUUAUACCUCUCUCCUUCUAAUUCAGUUUUGGGAAAGUGGUCACUUCCAGCAUGGUCAAACAACCAUAUGUGGGUUCUACUCCUUUGCCCACUAAGCAAAUGCCCACUCAUGAUGGUGACCCUAACCAAGAUGCAAGUGAAAUAGAAGUUCGGAUGUCAUUAUCCCAUUGUUAAAAUAUGCUCAUUACUAUGUCAAGUAUGCUAAAUUAAAUAGAACUGGUUCAGUAACACUUCUUGAUUAAAUCAACUAACACAGCUAUUAUCUGGAACAACUUCCAUAGUGAACAUUUUCACUGUUCCAGUUUGCCCACAUUGAAACCAUACAUCACUGACCUCACGACUGACAGAUUCUUAGCAAAUACAACAUCUGAAUAAAACAUAUAGAACAUAACCAAUUAAAUUCAACAUCAUCCAACAAUAUUAGCAUAUUUAAAAUAUAUUGAGAAAAGGAAUACAUAUGCUUAUUAUCGUGUUGAAAGACUGUCCAAUUCAUGAAUUUGAUACAUCACAACGUUUGGAAGAAAACUUAAAUGAUUGCCCUAUUCAUAAAUUUUCAUGAAUGCAGGAGCGGUAAAAUUCAAUUUGCAAGAAGCUUUUGAAAAUGCAGAUUGUGAUGUUCCACACACCAUCUAUUGUAUUAUUUUCUCAUCCAAAUUUCAUACCAUGCAAUAAAUAGGAGAUAGAAGAAUAUAAGGAACAUGCUUAGGCCUGCCUCUGUCAUUCCCUCUC
RNAcentral lists this long non-coding RNA (2021 nucleotides) under Triticum aestivum (bread wheat). RNAcentral's name for it is "long non-coding RNA (TAES_LNC005792)". Lineage: Eukaryota; Viridiplantae; Streptophyta; Magnoliopsida; Poales; Poaceae. The record is from RNAcentral.